Molecule: ribosomal RNA, 439 nt
Filed under: uncultured bacterium
Lineage: Bacteria
Description: bacterial SSU rRNA
Rfam family: Bacterial small subunit ribosomal RNA
Source: RNAcentral
AACGCGAAGAACCUUACCUAGGUUUGACAUCCCUUGACAAUCUUAGAAAUAAGACUUUGUAGCAAUACACAAGGAGACAGGUGCUGCAUGGCUGUCGUCAGCUCGUGUUGUGAAAUGUUGGGUUAAGUCCCGCAACGAGCGCAACCCCUGGAUUUAGUUGCCAGCAUUAAGUUGGGCACUCUAAAUUAACUGCCAGCGUUAAGCUGGAGGAAGGUGGGGAUGACGUCAAGUCCUCAUGGCCCUUACACCUAGGGCUACACACGUAAUACAAUGGAUAGGACAAAGGGCAGCGAACCAGCGAUGGGGAGCUAAUCUCAAAAACCUAUCCUCAGUUCGGAUUGGAGGCUGCAAUUCGCCUCCAUGAAGGCGGAAUCGCUAGUAAUCGUGGAUCAGAACGCCACAGUGAAUACGUUCCCGGGCCUUGUACACACCGAGUAUA